AUUGAACGCUGGCGGCAGGCCUAACACAUGCAAGUCGAGCGGAUGAAGGGAGCUUGCUCCUGGAUUCAGCGGCGGACGGGUGAGUAAUGCCUAGGAAUCUGCCUGGUAGUGGGGGAUAACGUCCGGAAACGGGCGCUAAUACCGCAUACGUCCUGAGGGAGAAAGUGGGGGAUCUUCGGACCUCACGCUAUCAGAUGAGCCUAGGUCGGAUUAGCUAGUUGGUGGGGUAAAGGCCUACCAAGGCGACGAUCCGUAACUGGUCUGAGAGGAUGAUCAGCCACACUGGAACUGAGACACGGUCCAGACUCCUACGGGAGGCAGCAGUAGGGAAUAUUCGACAAUGGGCGAAAGCCUGAUGCAGCAAUGCCGCGUGUGUGAAGAAGGUCUUCGGAUCGUAAAGCACUUUUAGUUGGGAAGAAGGAAUGUAAGUGAAUACCUUGCUGUUUUGACGUUACCUACAGAAAAAGCAACGGCUAACUACGUG
This 484-nucleotide ribosomal RNA is filed under the name uncultured bacterium. RNAcentral's name for it is "partial 16S ribosomal RNA". It matches the Rfam family "Bacterial small subunit ribosomal RNA", at positions 30 to 507 of the family's 1533-position model. The record is from RNAcentral.